RNAcentral lists this ribosomal RNA (394 nucleotides) under Enterococcus faecium. Its description in RNAcentral is "bacterial SSU rRNA". It matches the Rfam family "Bacterial small subunit ribosomal RNA", at positions 1 to 373 of the family's 1533-position model. The record is from RNAcentral. Lineage: Bacteria; Bacillati; Bacillota; Bacilli; Lactobacillales; Enterococcaceae.
UUUUAUGAGAGUUUGAUCCUGGCUCAGGACGAACGCUGGCGGCGUGCCUAAUACAUGCAAGUCGAACGCUUCUUUUUCCAACGGAGCUUGCUCCACCGGAAAAAGAAGAGUGGCGAACGGGUGAGUAACACGUGGGUAACCUGCCCAUCAGAAGGGGAUAACACUUGGAAACAGGUGCUAAUACCGUAUAACAAUCAAAACCGCAUGGUUUUGAUUUGAAAGGCGCUUUCGGGUGUCGCUGAUGGAUGGACCCGCGGUGCAUUAGCUAGUUGGUGAGGUAACGGCUCACCAAGGCCACGAUGCAUAGCCGACCUGAGAGGGUGAUCGGCCACAUUGGGACUGAGACACGGCCCAAACUCCUMCGGGAGGCAGCAGUAGGGAAUCUUCGGCAAUG